RNAcentral lists this ribosomal RNA (461 nucleotides) under uncultured bacterium. Its description in RNAcentral is "partial 16S ribosomal RNA". It matches the Rfam family "Bacterial small subunit ribosomal RNA", at positions 339 to 795 of the family's 1533-position model. The record is from RNAcentral.
CUACGGGCUGCUCCAGUCGAGAAUCUUCCGCAAUGGACGAAAGUCUGACGGAGCGACGCCGCGUGCGGGAUGAAGGCCUUCGGGUUGUAAACCGCUGCCAGUGGGGAGGAAAUGCAUCAGGGUUCUCCCUGGUGUUUGACCGAUCCGCAGAGGAAGCGCAGGCUAAGUUCGUGCCAGCAGCCGCGGUAACACGAACUGCGCGAACGUUAUUCGGAAUCACUGGGCUUAAAGAGUUCGUAGGCGGCCUUUCCAGUCGGGUGUGAAAUCCCUCGGCUCAACCGAGGAAUUGCGCCUGAUACUGUUGGGCUUGAGGGGGAUAGGGGUGAGCGGAACUGAUGGUGGAGCGGUGAAAUGCGUUGAUAUCAUCAGGAACACCGGUGGCGAAGGCGGCUCACUGGAUCUCUUCUGACGCUGAGGAACGAAAGCUAGGGGAGCGAACGGGAUUAGAUACCCCCGUAGUC